GUUUAAUAAAAACAAAGCAAAGUGAUGGCCAGAAAUGGUUUUGACACUUUGUUAAUCCUGCCCAGUGCUUUUGUACGUUAAUGUGAUGAAAGUUGAGCAAGCACAGGUAAACGGCGGAAGUAACUAUGACUUUCUUAAGGUAGCGAAAUGCCUCGGCAUGUAAUUUGUGUCCUGCAUGAAUGGAUCAAUGAGGUUCCUACUGUCCCUAUCUACUAUCUAGCGAACCCACAGCCAAGGGGAACGGGCUUGGCAAAAUCAGCGGGGAAAGAAGACCCUGUUGAGCUUGACUCUAGUCUGACUUUGUGAAAUGAAUAAAGCGGUGUAGCCUUAGCUGGGAGCCUUGCGUCAAUGAAAAACCAGUACGUUUUGAUUCAUUUUACUUAUUCCGUGAGGUAGAAUGCCCUUACGGGCUUUUCUAGUUUUAAGGUCAUCUAAUGGCUUGAUCUAGGCGGAAGACAUAGUCAGGUGGGGAGUUUGGCGUGGGGCGGUACAUCUGUUAAACGUCAACGCAGGU
Molecule: ribosomal RNA, 514 nt
Filed under: uncultured eukaryote
Lineage: Eukaryota
Description: eukaryotic LSU rRNA
Rfam family: Eukaryotic large subunit ribosomal RNA
Source: RNAcentral